RNAcentral lists this long non-coding RNA (2354 nucleotides) under Arachis ipaensis. Its description in RNAcentral is "long non-coding RNA (AIPA_LNC002312)". The record is from RNAcentral. Lineage: Eukaryota; Viridiplantae; Streptophyta; Magnoliopsida; Fabales; Fabaceae.
AGGGUUAGUUUUAGUUUAUGCUCUGCAGUAAAUCAAUUACUAUGAUAAACACUUUCAGUUACAAUUAUAGUUUUUAUCUGUCUUUUAUAAUAAAUUUUGGUGUAAUUCAGACUUAGAUUCAACUAAUACAAUAUAUUCCGGACUUUACCAUGUGUCAACUCUCUCGGCUCAUUUGCUUCACAUUUUGCAAAAUAUGUUAGUUAGAAUAAAGUAUCAUUGAAAACCAAUUUGGGUAAUUACUCCAACUUUUUUAAUAUCAAUCUUAGUAGAUCCUCAGUUAUCAAUGGUUUCUGCUUCUUCCUGCCAGCAUUGGUUUUCAUUGCUCAACCAAAACUUAAUGCUCUUAAUUGAGCAUAUGUAACAAGAAUGAAGUACAGAUCAUGAUGCCUAAAUUACAAAGAUGGAAUUCUUUGAUCUUUCACAUAAUCAUGUAUAACCUCUUCAUUCUGUGUUCUUGUGCUUUACCCUAUGAAUAUCAAUGGAAGUAAAUACGAGAAUCCAUGGUCAUAUUUUCAAGGACAAAACAAGAUGGACCUUACUUGCCUUUUAGCUCAUAACCACCAUUGCUAUGUCACCUCAUAAAGACAAACAAGGGCCCUUAAUUUGCUUUCUGGCCUGCUGUUCAAAAUUAUUAAAGUUCUAAGCAAACUAUGAUCAGUAAAGUGGUAGUACAACAUUGGAUAAGAUGACCCUUGAUGCUUCUGCUCACCCUUAUGGCAAAGGGAUCGGCGGGCAGUGGCGGCGAUAAAAUUAUCUGCUGCUGUACCAUAUCCAACUAACUUCUCAACAGAGAAACUAUUCUCCCAAAAAAAAUCAAACUUCAAAAUAUACAAGUUGUAUACACUUCCUUGUCACCAUAUUAAACAAGGUAGCUAGACAGAGGAAUCUGGAACAGCUGCCAAGCGAUGUAGGACCAAGCGCUGAUUCAAACAGUAAAUUACUGUCAUUCGCCAGAGUAAAUUGCCAGAAUUGUUGGUUAUACAUUAAUAUGCAACUCAAGGUUGGAGCAGUCUCAACUUUUAGUGCACAACUCAGAUACAUAAUUGCCAGAAAGAACUAAAAGAAAAUGAAGAUCUUCAACUAUAAAAAGUUCUUACUGAUCAAAUUAUUAUAAGAGGCCCAAAAAUACAGUUAUUAUUUACUGAGACAUGGUCCUAAAGAUCAUAAAAAACAAAAGACAUAACCCUUUUUCCAUAUGAAUGCUGACGGGGAUUGUCCUAUAGUUUGGUCCAUGCACUCAAAUAGGUCCUUGUCCUAGUUUGGACUAGAUUCUAAUUCAUUAUAAAACAUGUUAGACACCAAGGUAACCACUUUUUACAAAGCCUCAAAGCCUUUUUUAGGCUUUUGCAUGCCAACUUGUAUAACUAAAUAAUGCAUAUUAUAGGAAGAGUUUCAAGUGUACCAGAAACAUUGGUGUUCCAGUUGUUUUGACCGUUGAUCUGAAUUAUAAAAAAUAUAUAAAAUAUAUAUUAAUUGAAAUCAACGGUUAAAACAACUGGAACAUCGGUAUUCCUGGUACACUUAAAAUUUUUCCCAUAUUAUAUUAGUAUUCUUAUACUCAUAUAUAAUGCAUUAUUUAUUUGAUUUAGAAAGUUAAAUGUUGAAAUUGUAAAUUUGUUUGAAGGUCUUAGAUCUUUUAAUAGACUUUUAGGUCAAUACCUGAUCUUAAAAAUGAUCACUCUAGGCUUUAAAAAAGGCCCUAUAUUAAGCAUAUAGGCAAGGCCUAAGCCAUCUAUUUGAAAUCAAGAGGCCUGUUUAACACAACCUAGCUUAUUUUCACCCCUUGGAUAGAAUUCCCUUUUUUUUUGGGUUCGGUAAUAAAAAGUGAGGUGUAAACAAAAAAAAGAGAGAAAACUAUAAGAAAGAUUGAAGAUAAAAGGAUGCAACCUUUUAAAAACACAUUUACUUUUGCAGGAGAGACCUUGAUUUCAUAAACACUGAAAAGAAAAAGCCAUAUGAAAGAUGGAGAGAGACAAUGCAUCUCUUUAACCAUACAUAAUACAUUACUUUUGGAGGAAGAACCAACUUUUGAUAUCCCCAUAUCAGAGACUCAGAGUAUACUUGAAAAAAAAAACUAAAGUGAUUAAGUGUGAUUUUUUCCCUUACCCCCAGCCCCCCAGCCCCUACCGAAGAAGGAAAAAAACACAAAUGAUGUUUGGUUCUAAUCACCAAGCAACAAGCGAAAAAAAAAAUCAUGUGAACUAACCCGACAGAUGUUGACGGAGUUGUCCACAGUAUUGCAUAAAAGUCAUGCAGAUUCAUUGUAGGCAACCCAAACCUGUUAUCCUACAAAUAAAUGAAAGAAUUAGGAUCCUCGAAUAAAAAAUACACUUUAACAUGCUUAUUCACUAAUU